CAGCCGCCGCGGUAAUACGAAGGGUGCAAGCGUUAAUCGGAAUUACUGGGCGUAAAGCGUGCGUAGGCGGUGAGUUAAGUCUGCUGUGAAAUCCCCGGGCUCAACCUGGGAAUGGCAGUGGAUACUGGCUCGCUAGAGUGUGUCAGAGGAUGGUGGAAUUCCCGGUAUAGCGGUGAAAUGCGUAGAGAUCGGGAGGAACAUCAGUGGCGAAGGCGGCCAUCUGGGACAACACUGACGCUGAGGCACGAAAGCGUGGGGAGCAAACAGGAUUAGAUACCCGCGUAGUCCCUGUCUCUUAUAC
Molecule: ribosomal RNA, 301 nt
Filed under: uncultured bacterium
Lineage: Bacteria
Description: partial 16S ribosomal RNA
Rfam family: Bacterial small subunit ribosomal RNA
Source: RNAcentral